GUGCUUGCUCAGGCAGCACACCUAAUAAAUUGGAAUCGAUACAGAGAAGAUUAGCAUGGCCCUUGUGCAAGGAUGACACGCAAAUUCGUGAAGCAUUUCCACAUUUU
Small nuclear RNA from Labrus bergylta (ballan wrasse), 107 nucleotides. The record is from Ensembl. Lineage: Eukaryota; Metazoa; Chordata; Actinopteri; Labriformes; Labridae.